AAUAUAUAUAUUUUUUGACAUCUUUGGAUCCACAAUGUCCAGUCCAUAGUUAAUCCUUAUUAUACGGAAUAACUGUUUUAUUAAUU
This 86-nucleotide small RNA is filed under the name Arabidopsis thaliana (thale cress). RNAcentral's name for it is "ATSL051910". The record is from RNAcentral. Lineage: Eukaryota; Viridiplantae; Streptophyta; Magnoliopsida; Brassicales; Brassicaceae.